This is an RNA transcript of Dalotia coriaria, 2082 nucleotides long. It is a transcript of the gene named lethal (1) G0469, with no coding region annotated. Lineage: Eukaryota; Metazoa; Arthropoda; Insecta; Coleoptera; Staphylinidae. The record is from RefSeq and is a predicted model, not a curated record. The transcript has 4 exons.
CACAAACGUCGUCGCGUACACACGCUCGUAUUGCCCCGUAUAUACAAUCGUAUCCCCGCAUUAAUCCCACGCCGUGCGUCCGUCUCAUAUCGCGAGCGCCGGAACACAUACGCAAACCGCACGCCGCCGCCGUCGAUUCAGAAAAAUCGAGACAUUUAUCAAACGACAAUCGCCACUCGGCAAGCUAGCGCGCAAAGUACGCCCCAGCUACUGACUUUAUUAUCACAACAUACCGGCGCGUACGCAUAAUAAACAUUUUAAAGCCGGCUGCAUUCAUUGCACACCGCGCGCGCUCCUUCAGACUCGCGCUCACAGAGCGGCUCCUCCACACUCCACGACUCCGCACUCAUUGUGAGUUCGUUGCCGCAUAAGCUCGCGCGCUCCGCAAUACGAAUGAACGAUAAAUAACCGCUCGCAACUGACUUCGAAAAGUGUUAAACACUGUGUCAAACGCGCAACCUUCUUAUCUCUCAUUAACGUUGCCAGCGCACUUCUAACUAAAUACAAAAUAAAUCACCCGCGCUCGUUUGCUCGUUGGCAGCGGGGAAGUCCGGAGGAGUUUUGUUUGUUUUAAAUGUUACUAGUUUAUUAGCGUGUGUGUGUUGAACGCGCAAAGCGAAAAGGCCGCCGCUAUGAUGCUUUACGAGGCAGUGCAUCUGCAGCAAUCGGAGGCGUACUACGAUUAUACCAACCCAACCACGGCGAAGAUGAAGGAACGCGAACGUGUAAAGGUGCAACGCACCAAGAGUCUCAGCAACGUGCAGCGCUUCAUCAAUCAACAGCAGGACAUCUCGCGCAGGGGUAGUUACGUCGUCGGGCAAAAAUUACGCGAGUCCAAGUGGUUCAAUCAUGAUGAGCUGAAAGUCUUCUGUGCGGUGGUGGAAACUGGAUUCAUUGUGCAGCGGAAGGAUGACAUCAAUGAUGAGCUCGAAUUCGGCAUUGCCGUUUGGAAUACCGGCGAAGAAAAGAGUAAAAAUCCGGAACAAAUAAAAAUCUACGCGUUGCAUCCACACAAAAACAACUUUCGCGUGGGACAAUUCGACUUGCUCACAUUCUGGCCGCUCGGCACAAAGCUGCGCAUCUACAAUCAUUGUGAUAAGACGGAAACGCCGCACAGUGAGGAUGUCAUCCGCAAUCAAAUCGACUAUGCGGAAGCAACCAAACAAAAAUGGCACAACUCCGAACAUUUCACCUAUUGGUGUCGCUACGGUCCGAUACAAAUCAAUCAACGCGUACGAAACAUGUUGCGCAAAAUAGGUCAAGCGAUGUCACUGUUGUUAAUACUAAGCGGCAAAGGUAUAUUAGCACGCGACGUUGGUGCGAAAAUAGCGCCCGCCAGGAGAUUUAACGCCUCCUGACCGGCUGCUGUCAGUGAUGAAUUAAAUUGUCGAAUGGAAAUCAAUUGAAAACUGAAUGAUUCACGGUCGUAUAUUUGUGGAAUGACUGACGCCAAGUGGGGGAGCUUUGGACUUAAUUCUGGACUGCUCCUUAUCAAAAAGCGUAUACGACGCCUGACGAAUUCGAAAUGAAUGCGACAGUGACGUUUUUACGACGAGAAAAGUGCAAUUUUCGUCAUGUAUUGUUUAAUUUAUGCGCAACAAAUCGCUGCCGGCUGCGUCACAGUGAAAACACAAUUGGUUACGUGUUGGGGCAAGCGUUUAGUCAUCAUUUGAAAUGAAAGUUGGAAGUAAUUUCCACACCGAGUGAAAUUUUUCUCAUGUACUUUGUUGCCUCGCAGUUUUAUUGACUGUGAUUUAUGGUGGUUUUCUUAAACACCUUGUAUACCUUGUUGCGCGAGUUGUGAGACGUAUCGUUAUAAAAAAUGUAAAUAUAUUUAAACGUUAUAUUUUACGUCAUUGAUGUGUUCAGGAAAAGCUCAAAAUGAAAGCUAUGAAACGUUUAAAAUAUCAAUGCAUUUAGAACUUUUCUAUAAAGACACAUUAGUUGACAAUGUAUUUUAACUUAUGCCCAGUUAUUCUGUGACAUAACUAAUCAUUAUGAUUACGAAAUGAAUAUUAUGUUUAUACAAAACCAAUAUUAUACUGUUUAUAGAAAGAAUAUAUUACUAACUUUGGACCUAGA